CUACUCGAAAGUUAAAAACAUUAAGUUGCAAGCUUAAAUUAGCUUAAAUGCUCGGGUAGG
This 60-nucleotide transfer RNA is filed under the name Echinogammarus veneris. RNAcentral's name for it is "tRNA-Cys". The record is from RNAcentral. Lineage: Eukaryota; Metazoa; Arthropoda; Malacostraca; Amphipoda; Gammaridae.